RNAcentral lists this ribosomal RNA (170 nucleotides) under uncultured bacterium. RNAcentral describes it as "partial 16S ribosomal RNA". It matches the Rfam family "Bacterial small subunit ribosomal RNA", at positions 338 to 524 of the family's 1533-position model. The record is from RNAcentral.
CCUACGGGAGGCAGCAGUCGGGAAUAUUGCGCAAUGGAGGAAACUCUGACGCAGUGACGCCGCGUGCAGGAAGAAGGUUUUCGGAUUGUAAACUGCUUUAGACAGGGAAGAAAAAAGACAGUACCUGUAGAAUAAGCUCCGGCUAACUACGUGCCAGCAGCCGCGGUAAU